This 405-nucleotide ribosomal RNA is filed under the name uncultured bacterium. RNAcentral's name for it is "bacterial SSU rRNA". It matches the Rfam family "Bacterial small subunit ribosomal RNA", at positions 30 to 432 of the family's 1533-position model. The record is from RNAcentral.
AUUGAACGCUGGCGGCAGGCCUAACACAUGCAAGUCGAGCGGUAACAGGGAUAGCUUGCUAUCUGCUGACGGGCGGCGGACGGGUGCGUAACGCGUAGGAAUUUGCCCGAUAGUGGGGGAUAGCCCGGAGAAAUUCGGAUUAAUACCGCAUACCUUCUACGGAAGAAAGCAGGGGAUCUUCGGACCUUGCGCCAUCGGAUGAGCCUGCGUCGGAUUAGCUAGUUGGUGGGGUAAAUGCCUACCAAGGCGACGAUCCGUAGCUGGUCUGAGAGGAUGAUCAGCCACACUGGGACUGAGACACGGCCCAGACUCCUACGGGAGGCAGCAGUGGGGAAUAUUGCACAAUGGGCGCAAGCCUGAUGCAGCCAUGCCGCGUGUGUGAAGAAGCCCUAGGGUUGUAAAGCA